ACCAUUCAACCUGUCCUUUUUAAUUCACAUUUGCCCCCAAACCCUAGUCAUUUCUCAUCUGCAGCUUCCUUCGAACCCCCAUUCUCUCCCAAUUCUCUGUCAGACCCCUCUCAAACCCUAGCCACCGCCUUUAGCCACCAAUUGAAAAUCUCCCAAAUCCACGGCUUCUAAAGCCACUGGAGGCCUGUAUCCACCUACAUUGGCCUAUAUGUGUUGAGUACUAUGGUUUCAAGGCUAAAACUUGAAGAAUCUUGGCCCAGACUUUGGUCAAUCUCAAUUUUUACGGUUGUCUCCGGUCAUCUUUGACCUUUCUCCGGCCGGUCUGGCUAUUCAAGCCUGGUUCUUAACUUCUCCUGCUUAGAUCAAUAAUUGUUCAAGCCUUUCUCACCAUAUGUGUUUCUACUGAAACCGUAAUCCUUAAGGUUCUUCUAAUUUCUUUUAUAUUUGCUUAGAUCCGUGUUUGCUCUAGACUUCUAAGCGUUUUUCCCAAAGUUUCUUCCAGUACUUUACCUUCGAAACCCCUUAUCUUUUUCCGAUUUAGGGUUUUGUUAAAUAUUUCGAAGCUUUCUCUGACUUUUCUACAUGUUCUACUGUGUUUCCUUAUGUCGUUCUUUUACUUGAUUUUGCAUGUUAAAGGUCCUUGACCUUUUUGAUAUUUCUGAAAUUAUUUUGUUAAUAUUUUUGCCUUACUUUUUUUUCAUCUCUGUAUUCGAUUGAUGGUAAAAACCCUAAACUUUGGGGUUCGUUCGAGUUAUGAGACUAUUCUAAGUACUCUGUGAUUCCCUUCUACCUGUUCUGAAUCUACUAUGCAUCCCAAACCCCUAUCCGAACGUGUUUUAUAUUGAUGGAUUGUUUGAGGCAUGACAAUCUUAAUUAUUGCUGUCUAUUAUUUAAACUUGAUUCCCCAAAAAUCAUAACCUCUACGUUACCAUAAUAUCUUGUGUAUUCUUGUUUAAUUUUUAAGCACAACAACACCCCCUAUUGCUGUGCAUGCGCAGAAUUAACUAAGGCCUAUGUAUAUAGGCUCUUUGCAGUUCCUAGUCCCCGAACCCCUUUUGUGUGAAAUCAUUCAUUCAGUAGCUAUUUCCCAGAACCUCUUUCCCUCUUCUUUACUUCCCUUGUUCUUAAAGAUCUAUUUCUUCACUUGCACUCUCUCAUAGACCUAAGUUCUGCUCCCCUCUUGUGAGACUUGCCUUGGGACCCAUUGAGCUCCCCUUGAACUUGGACAUUUGAGGGUUGGCACUUUCAUACUGCACUUGUCCCUAUUCCGAUAAUACAAUUUGGGUGUAAGCACUGCCCGGAGUCCCAUUGAGGCUCUUAGGGAACUUUGGCACACUAAAAUUUGAGAAGGGC
RNAcentral lists this long non-coding RNA (1353 nucleotides) under Nicotiana benthamiana. RNAcentral's name for it is "long non-coding RNA (NBEN_LNC037847)". Lineage: Eukaryota; Viridiplantae; Streptophyta; Magnoliopsida; Solanales; Solanaceae. The record is from RNAcentral.